RNAcentral lists this ribosomal RNA (503 nucleotides) under uncultured Acidobacteriaceae bacterium. RNAcentral's name for it is "bacterial SSU rRNA". It matches the Rfam family "Bacterial small subunit ribosomal RNA", at positions 8 to 493 of the family's 1533-position model. The record is from RNAcentral. Lineage: Bacteria; Pseudomonadati; Acidobacteriota; Terriglobia; Terriglobales; Acidobacteriaceae.
AGAGUUUGAUCCUGGCUCAGAAUCAACGCUGGCGGCGUGCCUAACACAUGCAAGUCGAACGCGAAAGUCCCGAAAGGGAUAAGUAGAGUGGCAAACGGGUGAGUAACGCGUGGGUGACCUGCCUUCGAGCGGGGGAUAACGUUUCGAAAGGAACGCUAAUACCGCAUGACAUCCUGCCUUUGAAGAGGUGGAGAUCAAAGCCGGGGAUCGCAAGACCUGGCACUCGAAGAGGGGCCCGCGUCCGAUUAGCUAGUUGGUGAGGUAACGGCUCACCAAGGCAUCGAUCGGUAGCCGGCCUGAGAGGGCGGACGGCCACACUGGGACUGAGACACGGCCCAGACUCCUACGGGAGGCAGCAGUGGGGAAUUGUUCGCAAUGGGCGAAAGCCUGACGACGCAACGCCGCGUGGAGGAUGAAGACUUUCGGGUCGUAAACUCCUGUCGAAUGGGACGAAAGAACUGCGGGUUAACAACCUGCAGUAGUGACGGUACCGUAAAGAGCCC